Molecule: transfer RNA, 72 nt
Filed under: Mus musculus (house mouse)
Lineage: Eukaryota; Metazoa; Chordata; Mammalia; Rodentia; Muridae
Description: tRNA-Ala
Source: RNAcentral
GAGCGGGGGCUCAGUGGGUAGAGUGUUUGUCUAGCAAGCACAAAGCCUUCCGUUCAAUCCCCAACCUGCUUG